Long non-coding RNA from Sphaeramia orbicularis (orbiculate cardinalfish), 1248 nucleotides. RefSeq lists it as uncharacterized. The transcript has 2 exons. Lineage: Eukaryota; Metazoa; Chordata; Actinopteri; Kurtiformes; Apogonidae. The record is from RefSeq and is a predicted model, not a curated record.
UGAACCCCAACCCAGACCAUGAACCCAGACCCCGAACCCCAACCCAGACCACGAACCCUAACCCAGACUCCAAACCCCAAACCAGACCCCGAACCCCAAACCAACCCAACUCCACCUGGACCCCAACCUGAGCCUGAAGAUGCAAAUGAGAGAUGAAUCACUAGUGUGAAUAGAUCAGCACCCACUUAUACCUCAGGAGUGUCUGUGGUUCUACAGGCUCUGGUUCUACAGUCUGUGGUUCUACAGGCUCUGAUUCUACAGUCUGUGGUUCUACAGGCUCUGGUUCUACAGUCUGUGGUCCUACAGUCUGUGGUUCUAUAGUCUGUCGUUCUACAGGCUCUGGUUCUACAGUCUAUGGUUCUAUAGUCUGUGGUUCUAUAGUCUUUGGUUCUACAGGCUCUGGUUCUACAAUCUGUGGUUCUAUAGUUUGUGGUUCUACAGGCUCUGGUUCUACAGUCUGUGGUUCUACAGUCUGUGGUCCUACAGGCUCUGCCUCUACAGUCUGUGGUUCUAUAGUCUGUGGUUCUACAGGCUCUGGUUCUACAUCUGUGGUUCUACAGGCUCUGGUUCUACAGUCUGUGGUUCCACAGGCUUCGGUUCAACAGUCUGUGGUUCUACAAUCUGUGGUCCUACAGGCUCUGCUUCUAUAGCCUGUGGUUCUACAGUCUGUGGUUCUACAGGCUCUGCUUCUACAUUAUGUGGUUCUACAGGCUCUGGUUCUACAGUCUGGUUCUGCAGGCUCUGGUUCUAUAGUCUGUGGUUCUACAGGCUCUGGUUCUACAGUCUGGUUCUGCAGGCUCUGGUUCUAUAGUCUGUUGUUCUACAGGCUCUGGUUCUACAGUCUGUGGUCUUACAGUCUGUUGUUCUACAGUCUGUGGUCCUACAGACUGUGGUUCUACAGUCUGUGGUUGUACAGGCUCUGGUUCUACAGUCUGUUGUUCUACAGACUCUGGUUCUACAGUCUGUGUUUCUGAACCAGGCACAGACGUCGUCAUGGCGUCCGUGGAACCUCCAGUCGUUUUAAAUGUGUUACAUAAACCACAGGAUAUUUUUGUAGAAAAUUGAACUCUGAUUUCUGUUCUUGUAUUUAACGGUUGGAACGUCUUGUAUCUGAUUGGUUUGUGUCUUUGUGUGACUGUGAGCGCGACUGAACAUGUGUUGAAUUCUGUUCUAAAGAACCAUUUGACUUAUACUGUGAAUUUCUCAUUUGAAAACCUUUUGGAAAUAAACUGUCUGGUUUGGAGUGUA